ACGUAGGGGGCUAGCGUUGUUCGGAAUUACUGGGCGUAAAGCGCGUGUAGGCGGCCCCGCAAGUCGGAAGUGAAAGCCCUCGGCUCAACCGGGGAACUGCUUUCGAAACUGCGGGACUUGAGUGUGGGAGGGGAGAGCGGAAUUCCCGGUGGGGCGGUGAAUUGCGCAGAUAUCGGGAAGAACAGCGGUGGCGAAGGUGGCUCUCUGGACCAAUACUGCGGCUGAGCCGGGAAAGUGUGUGUAACAUACAG
Molecule: ribosomal RNA, 251 nt
Filed under: uncultured prokaryote
Description: partial 16S rRNA
Rfam family: Bacterial small subunit ribosomal RNA
Source: RNAcentral